AGUGAACGCUGGCGGCAGGCCUAAUACAUGCAAGUCGAACGGCAGCACGGCAGAGCUUGCUCUGUGGGUGGCGAGUGGCGGACGGGUGAGGAAUACAUGGGAAUCUGCCCAGUCGUGGGGGAUAACGUAGGGAAACUUACGCUAAUACCGCAUGCGCCCUUCGGGGAAAGCCGGGGACCUUCGGCCUGGCGCGAUUGGAUGAGCCCAUGUCGGAUUAGCUAGUUGGCGGGGUAAUGGCCCACCAAGGCGACGAUCCGUAGCUGGUCUGAGAGGAUGAUCAGCCACACUGGAACUGAGACACGGUCCAGACUCCUACGGGAGGCAGCAGUAGGGAAUAUUGGACAAUGGGCGCAAGCCUGAUCCAGCCAUGCCGCGUGAGUGAAGAAGGCCCUCGGGUUGUAAAGCUCUUUUGUCCGGAAAGAAAAGCGCCGGGUUAAUACCCUGGUGUCCUGACGGUACCGGAAGAAUAAGCACCGGCUAACUUCGUGCCAGCAGCCGUACGG
Molecule: ribosomal RNA, 503 nt
Filed under: uncultured bacterium
Lineage: Bacteria
Description: bacterial SSU rRNA
Rfam family: Bacterial small subunit ribosomal RNA
Source: RNAcentral